Molecule: ribosomal RNA, 253 nt
Filed under: uncultured bacterium
Lineage: Bacteria
Description: partial 16S ribosomal RNA
Rfam family: Bacterial small subunit ribosomal RNA
Source: RNAcentral
UACAGAGGUCCCAAGCGUUGUUCGGAUUUACUGGGCGUAAAGGGUGCGUAGGCGGUGGGGUAAGUUUGAGGUGAAAGCUCCGGGCUCAACCCGGAAACUGCCUUGAAAACUAUCCGGCUAGAGGGUUGGAGGGGAGACUGGAAUUCUCGGUGUAGCAGUGAAAUGGGUAGAUCUCGAGAGGAACACCAGUGGCGAAGGCGGGUCUCUGGACAACACCUGACGCUGAGGCACGAAAGCCAGGGGAGCAAACGGG